AUUGAACGCUGGCGGCAGGCCUAACACAUGCAAGUCGAGCGGAUGAAGGGAGCUUGCUCCUGGAUUCAGCGGCGGACGGGUGAGUAAUGCCUAGGAAUCUGCCUGGUAGUGGGGGAUAACGUCCGGAAACGGGCGCUAAUACCGCAUACGUCCUGAGGGAGAAAGUGGGGGAUCUUCGGACCUCACGCUAUCAGAUGAGCCUAGGUCGGAUUAGCUAGUUGGUGGGGUAAAGGCCUACCAAGGCGACGAUCCGUAACUGGUCUGAGAGGAUGAUCAGUCACAUUGGAACUGAGACCCGGUCCAGACCCCUACGGGAGGAAGCAGGGGGGAAUAUGGGACAAGGGGCGAAAGCCUGAUCCAGCCAUGCCGGGGGGGGGAAGAAGGUCUGCGGAUUGUAAAGCACUUUAAGUUGGGGGGAAGGGCAGUAAGUUAAUACCUUGCUGUUUUGACGUUACCAACAGAAUAAGCACCGGCUAACUUCGU
This 483-nucleotide ribosomal RNA is filed under the name uncultured bacterium. Its description in RNAcentral is "partial 16S ribosomal RNA". It matches the Rfam family "Bacterial small subunit ribosomal RNA", at positions 30 to 506 of the family's 1533-position model. The record is from RNAcentral.